Molecule: non-coding RNA, 291 nt
Organism: Balearica regulorum gibbericeps (East African grey crowned-crane)
Lineage: Eukaryota; Metazoa; Chordata; Aves; Gruiformes; Gruidae
Source: RefSeq, a predicted model, not a curated record
AGUAUGUUCAAGCAGAUGCUCCUACCAAUAAAACACUGGCUGGGCUGGUGGUGCAGCUGCUGCAAUUCCAGGAAGAUGCCUUUGGAAAACACGUCACCAAUCCUGCCUUCACAAAGCUUCCUGCAAAGUGCUUCAUGGAUUUCAAAGCUGGAGGUACAUUGUGUCACAUUCUUGGUGCUGCUUACAAAUAUAAGAAUGAACAGGGCUGGCGGAGGUUUGACCUGCAGAAUCCAUCCCGAAUGGAUCGAAACGUGGAGAUGUUCAUGAACAUUGAGAAAACACUAGUGCAGG